GACGAACGCUGGCGGCGUGCUUAACACAUGCAAGUCGAACGGAAAGGCCCUGCUUUUGUGGGGUGCUCGAGUGGCGAACGGGUGAGUAACACGUGAGUAACCUGCCCUUGACUUUGGGAUAACUUCAGGAAACUGGGGCUAAUACCGGAUAGGAGCUCCUGCUGCAUGGUGGGGGUUGGAAAGUUUCGGCGGUUGGGGAUGGACUCGCGGCUUAUCAGCUUGUUGGUGGGGUAGUGGCUUACCAAGGCUUUGACGGGUAGCCGGCCUGAGAGGGUGACCGGCCACAUUGGGACUGAGAUACGGCCCAGACUCGUACGGGGGGCAGCAGUGGGGAAUAUUGCACAAUGGGCGGAAGCCUGAUGCAGCAACGCCGCGUGCGGGAUGACGGCCUUCGGGUUGUAAACCGCUUUCGCCUGUGACGAAGCGUGAGUGACGGUAAUGGGUAAAGAAGCACGGGCUAACUACGUG
This 468-nucleotide ribosomal RNA is filed under the name uncultured bacterium. Its description in RNAcentral is "partial 16S ribosomal RNA". It matches the Rfam family "Bacterial small subunit ribosomal RNA", at positions 28 to 507 of the family's 1533-position model. The record is from RNAcentral.